RNAcentral lists this transfer RNA (65 nucleotides) under Bavayia robusta. Its description in RNAcentral is "tRNA-Cys". The record is from RNAcentral. Lineage: Eukaryota; Metazoa; Chordata; Lepidosauria; Squamata; Diplodactylidae.
CANCCUGUAGUGAGUGUCACGUCNAAUUGCAAAUUUGAAAAAGUUCCUAUUUGGUUCCAGGGNGU